UGAAAAGAAUGUCCGCCCUUAGUUCU
Molecule: non-coding RNA, 26 nt
Filed under: Mus musculus (house mouse)
Lineage: Eukaryota; Metazoa; Chordata; Mammalia; Rodentia; Muridae
Source: RNAcentral